RNAcentral lists this ribosomal RNA (244 nucleotides) under uncultured bacterium. RNAcentral's name for it is "partial 16S ribosomal RNA". It matches the Rfam family "Bacterial small subunit ribosomal RNA", at positions 524 to 767 of the family's 1533-position model. The record is from RNAcentral.
UACGUAGGGGCGAAGCGUUGUCCGGAUUCAUUGGGCGUAAAGCGCGUGUAGGCGGCCAUACAGGUCCGUUGUGAAAACUCGAGGCUCAACCUCGAGACGUCGAUGGAAACCGUAUGGCUAGAGUCCGGAAGAGGAGAGUGGAAUUCCUGGUGUAGCGGUGAAAUGCGCAGAUAUCAGGAAGAACACCCGUGGCGAAGGCGGCUCUCUGGGACGGUACUGACGCUGAGACGCGAAAGCGUGGGGA